GUCGAGCGGACCGACGGGAGCUUGCUCCCUUAGGUCAGCGGCGGACGUGUGAGUAACACGUGGGUAACCUGCCUGUAAGACUGGGACCUCUCCAGGAAACCGGGGCUAAUACCGGAUGCUUGAUUGAACCGCAUGGUUCAAUCAUAAAAGGCGGCUUCGGCUGCCGUUUACCGAUGGACCCGCGGCGCAUUAGCUAGUUGGUGAGGUAACGGCUCACCAAGGCGACGAUGCGUAGCCGACCUGAGAGGGUGAUCGGCCACACUGGGACUGAGACACGGCCCAGACUCCUACGGGAGGCAGCAGUAGGGAAUCUUCCGCAAUGGACGAGAGUCUGACGGAGCAACGCCGCGUGAGUGAUGAAGGUUUUCGGAUCGUAAAGCUCUGUUGUUAGGGAAGAACAAGUACCGUU
Molecule: ribosomal RNA, 409 nt
Filed under: Bacillus sp. CSu2_15
Lineage: Bacteria; Bacillati; Bacillota; Bacilli; Caryophanales; Bacillaceae
Description: bacterial SSU rRNA
Rfam family: Bacterial small subunit ribosomal RNA
Source: RNAcentral